CAGUAGCCGCGGUAAUACGUAGGUCCCGAGCGUUGUCCGGAUUUAUUGGGCGUAAAGGGAGCGCAGGCGGUUUAGUAAGUCUGAAGUUAAAGGCAUUGGCUCAACCAAUGUAUGCUUUGGAAACUGUUAGACUUGAGUGCAGAAGAGGAGAGUGAAAUUCCAUGUGUAGCGGUGAAAUGCGUAGAUAUAUGGAGGAACACCGGUGGCGAAAGCGGCUCUCUGGUCUGUCACUGACGCUGAGGCUCGAAAGCGUGGGUAGCGAACAGGAUUAGAUACCCCAGUAGUCCCUGUCUCUUAUACA
This 301-nucleotide ribosomal RNA is filed under the name uncultured bacterium. RNAcentral's name for it is "partial 16S ribosomal RNA". It matches the Rfam family "Bacterial small subunit ribosomal RNA", at positions 509 to 808 of the family's 1533-position model. The record is from RNAcentral.